RNAcentral lists this long non-coding RNA (331 nucleotides) under Androctonus crassicauda. The record is from RNAcentral. Lineage: Eukaryota; Metazoa; Arthropoda; Arachnida; Scorpiones; Buthidae.
AUUUCUGUCCUCUACUUUUUUCGCAUUUUUAAAGGCUCGUUUCUAAUCGUUGAGAUUACUAAGGAGCGGGACCAGUUCCAACUACCGGCUGCGCCUACUCCCGUGGAAAGGGUGGGAUGGUGAAGGACGAAGAAGACCGGGCCGGGCGGGCCCACAACUCCGAAAAACUUUCGGGAGAUGUGGGACUCGGGUCCUCCGCCUGGCGGGCCGAAGCGUGGCCAGUCGGCCAUCCGGCCUCCCGGGUGAGGAUUAAAGUCGUCCGGGUGGCUUUCCAGGUUGGAUCCCGGUUUCAUACUCGGUUUUUCGAGACUAGGUUCGAACUUCCGACUGG